This 492-nucleotide ribosomal RNA is filed under the name uncultured bacterium. RNAcentral's name for it is "partial 16S ribosomal RNA". It matches the Rfam family "Bacterial small subunit ribosomal RNA", at positions 29 to 507 of the family's 1533-position model. The record is from RNAcentral.
AGUGAACGCUGGCGGUAGGCCUAACACAUGCAAGUCGAACGGCAGCACAGUAAGAGCUUGCUCUUACGGGUGGCGAGUGGCGGACGGGUGAGGAAUACAUCGGAAUCUACUUUUUCGUGGGGGAUAACGUAGGGAAACUUACGCUAAUACCGCAAACGGCCUACGGGUGAAAGCAGGGGAUCUUCGGACCUUGCGCGUUUGAAUGAGCCGAUGUCGGAUUAGCUAGUUGGCGGGGUAAAGGCCCACCAAGGCGACGAUCCGUAGCUGGUCUGAGAGGAUGAUCAGCCACACUGGAACUGAGACACGGCCCAGACUCCUACGGGAGGCAGCAGUGGGGAAUAUUGGACAAUGGGCGCAAGCCUGAUCCAGCCAUACCGCGUGGGUGAAGAAGGCCUUCGGGUUGUAAAGCCCUUUUGUUGGGAAAGAAAAGCAGCAGGUUAAUACCCCGCUGUUCUGACGGUACCCAAAGAAUAAGCACCGGCUAACUUCGUG